RNAcentral lists this long non-coding RNA (199 nucleotides) under Lathyrus oleraceus (garden pea). Its description in RNAcentral is "Pisum sativum (pea) long non-coding RNA (PSAT_LNC022366)". The record is from RNAcentral. Lineage: Eukaryota; Viridiplantae; Streptophyta; Magnoliopsida; Fabales; Fabaceae.
AUUUUCAGAGCACUUAAUUAAUUUUUCACACAAUAGUUUCUACGCCGGAAGCUAUUGUGUAUCUUUUACUGGAUCUAACCUUACGUUAGAUCAUAGUAUUUUUUAUCUCUUUGCUUUUAUUUUCCUGUCCGAUUGAAGAGUGCAAGAACAAAUCCAAUCGGUCUGUGGUGGAGUGUUCAAGAUUCCUAUUAAUUAUUCA